AGUGAACGCUGGCGGUAGGCCUAACACAUGCAAGUCGAACGGCAGCACAGUAAGAGCUUGCUCUUACGGGUGGCGAGUGGCGGACGGGUGAGGAAUACAUCGGAAUCUACUUUUUCGUGGGGGAUAACGUAGGGAAACUUACGCUAAUACCGCAUACGACCUACGGGUGAAAGCAGGGGAUCUUCGGACCUUGCGCGAUUGGAUGAGCCGAUGUCGGAUUAGCUAGUUGGCGGGGUAAAGGCCCACCAAGGCGACGAUCCGUAGCUGGUCUGAGAGGAUGAUCAGCCACACUGGAACUGAGACACGGUCCAGACUCCUACGGGAGGCAGCAGUGGGGAAUAUUGGACAAUGGGCGCAAGCCUGAUCCAGCCAUACUGCGUGGGUGAAGAAGGCCUUCGGGUUGUAAAGCCCUUUUGUUGGGAAAGAAAAGCAGCAGGUUAAUACCCCGCUGUUCUGACGGUACCCAAAGAAUAAGCACCGGCUAACUUCGUG
This 492-nucleotide ribosomal RNA is filed under the name uncultured bacterium. RNAcentral describes it as "partial 16S ribosomal RNA". It matches the Rfam family "Bacterial small subunit ribosomal RNA", at positions 29 to 507 of the family's 1533-position model. The record is from RNAcentral.